AGCGAACGCUGGCGGCAGGCUUAACACAUGCAAGUCGAACGCAUCCUUCGGGGUGGGUGGCGGACGGGUGAGUAACACGGGGGAACGUACCCUUCGAUCUGGGAUAACUUCGGGAAACUGGAGCUAAUACCGGAUACGCUCUUUUGGGGGAAGGUUUACUGUCGAAGGAUCGGCCCGCGUCCGAUUAGCUAGUUGGUGGGGUAACGGCCUACCAAGGCGAGGAUCAGUAGCUGGUCUGAGAGGAUGAGCAGCCACACUGGGACUGAGACACGGCCCAGACUCCUACGGGAGGGAGCAGUGGGGAAUAUUGGACAACGGGCGCAAGCCUGAUCCAGCCAUGCCGGGUGAGUGAUGAAGGCCUUAGGGUUGUAAAGCUCUUUUGUCCGGGACGAUAAUGACGGUACCGGAAGAAUAAGCCCCGGCUAACUUCGUG
Molecule: ribosomal RNA, 433 nt
Filed under: uncultured bacterium
Lineage: Bacteria
Description: partial 16S ribosomal RNA
Rfam family: Bacterial small subunit ribosomal RNA
Source: RNAcentral